AGUGAACGCUGGCGGUAGGCCUAACACAUGCAAGUCGAACGGCAGCACAGUAAGAUCUUGCUCUUACGGGUGGCGAGUGGCGGACGGGUGAGGAAUACAUCGGCAUCUACUUUUUCUUGGGGGAUAACGUAGGGAAACUGACGCUAAUACCGCAUACUAUCUACGGCUUAAAGCAGGGGAUCUUCGCACCUUUCGCGAUUCAUUUAGCCGAUGUCGGAUUAGCUAGUUGGCGGGGUAAAGGCCCACCAAGGCGACGAUCCGUAGCUGGUCUGAGAGGAUGAUCAGCCACACUGGAACUGAGACACGGUCCAGACUCCUACGGGAGGCAGCAGUGGGGAAUAUUGGACAAUGGGCGCAAGCCUGAUCCAGCCAUACCGCGUGGGUGAAGAAGGCCUUCGGGUUGUAAAGCCCUUUUGUUGGGAAAGAAAAGCAGCAGGUUAAUACCCCGCUGUUCUGACGGUACCCAAAGAAUAAGCACCGGCUAACUUCGUG
RNAcentral lists this ribosomal RNA (492 nucleotides) under uncultured bacterium. Its description in RNAcentral is "partial 16S ribosomal RNA". It matches the Rfam family "Bacterial small subunit ribosomal RNA", at positions 29 to 507 of the family's 1533-position model. The record is from RNAcentral.